UGAUGAUCAUCUCUGACAGUCAACAUGUACAAAACUCUCAUCAUCUACACAUUCUUUUGGCUCACAGGUCUCUGUCUCAGUGUUGAGGUUCACCAGACUCCCUCUGCAGUCUACAGCAGACCUGGAGAGAAUGUUCAACUCUUCUGCCAACAUCAGAAAACAGACUACACACUAAUGCUGUGGUACCAGAAACCACAAGGAGAAACAGCAUUGAAACUCAUUGGAUAUUUGAAUUUUAAUUCUCAAACCAUUGAGAGUUCAUAUGAAAAGCAUUUUAAUAUGAGUGGGGAUUUGGGUGGAGGUGGCCCAAAGAAUGCCUCUCUGAACAUGUUCAACUUGAAACGACCCCAACACAGUGCAGUGUAUUUCUGUGCUGCUAGUUAUGCACAGUGUUGCAGAUUCCCCUGUCUACACUACAAAAACCUUCUCUCAGUCACUGUCUCACUACAGCUGUCUGAUGCCACACUACAUUUUGUCAUUACGUCAUUGAUGAGGUCACUUCCUGUUCCUCCUCUCCAGUCAGUUCAGAUGAGAUGAGAUGUCAGGUGGUUGUCAGCUAACACUAAGGCCCCGUCUAGACUUGACAGUUCAUGCAGCUUUAGUGUUCUGAUCAUAGAGAUCUGAUCAUGGAAUUCCCAACACUUCAUGAAUCUACACAUACAUUUAAAUGUCCGUGUCCACAGUGUGUCUUGAUUUGAGAGAGAGAGAAGGGGAGAGAGAGAACGGGAGAGAGAGAGGGGGAGAGAGAGAGGGGGAGAGAGAGAAGGGGAGAGAGAGAAAGGGAGAGAGAGAGAAGGGGAGAGAGAGAGAAGGGGAGAGAGAGAGAAGGGGAGAGAGAGAAGGGGAGAGAGAGAGAAGGGGAGAGAGAGAUGGGGAGAGAGAGAAGUGGAGAGAGAGAAGGGGAGAGAGAGAAGUGGAGAGAGAGAAGUGGAGAGAGAGAAGUGGAGAGAGAGAGAAGGGGAGAGAGAGAAGGGGAGAGAGAGAGAAGGGGAAAGAGAGAGAAGGGGAGAGAGAGAUAGAGAGAGAGAAGGGGAGAGAGAGAAGUGGAGAGAGAGAAGUGGAGAGAGAGAAUCCAGGCUUGAAUCCAGGCUGUAUCACAACACGGCCGUGAUUGGAAGUCCCAUAGGGGCGGCGCACAAUUGACUCGGCAUCGUCCGGGUUUGGCUGGUGUAGGCCGUCAUUGUAAAAUGACUUGCCGAGUUAAAUAAAGAUGAAAUAAAAAUGAACAGUAAACUCCACCCUCUCACACAGACGUUAUUGGCAGUUACCUGACAGA
This 1276-nucleotide long non-coding RNA is filed under the name Oncorhynchus mykiss (rainbow trout). Its description in RNAcentral is "lncRNA (ENSOMYG00000023654.2)". Lineage: Eukaryota; Metazoa; Chordata; Actinopteri; Salmoniformes; Salmonidae. The record is from RNAcentral.